RNAcentral lists this ribosomal RNA (552 nucleotides) under uncultured Edaphobacter sp. RNAcentral's name for it is "bacterial SSU rRNA". It matches the Rfam family "Bacterial small subunit ribosomal RNA", at positions 355 to 897 of the family's 1533-position model. Lineage: Bacteria; Pseudomonadati; Acidobacteriota; Terriglobia; Terriglobales; Acidobacteriaceae. The record is from RNAcentral.
UGGGGAAUUUUCCGCAAUGGGCGAAAGCCUGACGGAGUGACGCCGCGUGUGGGACGAAGGCCUUCGGGUCGUAAACCACUGUCAGUGGGAAAGAAGAAUGUCGGUGCCAAUACCACCGGCAUUUGACGGUACCUGCAGAGGAAGCCCCGGCCAACUCUGUGCCAGCAGCCGCGGUAAGACAGAGGGGGCAAGCGUUGCUCGGAAUUACUGGGCGUAAAGGGCGCGUAGGCGGGAUGGCAAGUCGGUCGUGAAAUCCUUCGGCUCAACCGAAGAACGUCGAUCGAUACUGCUGUUCUUGAGGGUUGCAGAGGAGACUGGAAUUCCCGGUGUAGCGGUGAAAUGUGUAGAUAUCGGAAGGAACACCUGUGGCGAAAGCGGCUCACUGGACCAUAACUGACGCUGAGGCGCGAAAGCUAGGGGAGCAAACAGGAUUAGAUACCCUGGUAGUCCUAGCCCUAAACGAUGAUUGCUUGGUGUGACAGGUACCCAAUCCUGUCGUGCCGAAGCUAGCGCGAUAAGCAAUCCGCCUGGGGAGUACGGACGCAAGGCUGC